GGGCUCGUGGCUCAGCUAGGUGGAGCGACGGACUCUUAAUCCGUUGGUCAGGGGUUCGAAUCCCCUCGAGCCCG
RNAcentral lists this transfer RNA (74 nucleotides) under Thermoplasmata archaeon HGW-Thermoplasmata-1. RNAcentral's name for it is "tRNA-Lys". It matches the Rfam family "tRNA". From Rfam's summary of the family: Transfer RNA (tRNA) molecules are approximately 80 nucleotides in length. Their secondary structure includes four short double-helical elements and three loops (D, anti-codon, and T loops). Further hydrogen bonds mediate the characteristic L-shaped molecular structure. tRNAs have two regions of fundamental functional importance: the anti-codon, which is responsible for specific mRNA codon recognition, and the 3' end, to which the tRNAs corresponding amino acid is attached (by aminoacyl-tRNA synthetases). tRNAs cope with the degeneracy of the genetic code in two manners: having more than one tRNA (with a specific anti-codon) for a particular amino acid; and 'wobble' base-pairing, i.e. permitting non-standard base-pairing at the 3rd anti-codon position. The record is from RNAcentral. Lineage: Archaea; Methanobacteriati; Thermoplasmatota; Thermoplasmata.